This 383-nucleotide ribosomal RNA is filed under the name uncultured bacterium. Its description in RNAcentral is "bacterial SSU rRNA". It matches the Rfam family "Bacterial small subunit ribosomal RNA", at positions 917 to 1322 of the family's 1533-position model. The record is from RNAcentral.
GGGCCCGCACAAGCGGUGGAGUAUGUGGUUUAAUUCGAUGCAACGCGAAGAACCUUACCAGGGUUUGACAUCCUGCGAAUUUCUGGGAAACCGGAAAGUGCCUUCGGGAGCGCAGUGACAGGUGGUGCAUGGCUGUCGUCAGCUCGUGUCGUGAGAUGUUGGGUUAAGUCCCGCAACGAGCGCAACCCACAUCCCUAGUUGCCAGCAGUUCGGCUGGGCACUCUAUGGAAACUGCCCGUGAUAAGCGGGAGGAAGGUGUGGAUGACGUCAAGUCCUCAUGGCCCUUACGGGUUGGGCUACACACGUGCUACAAUGGUAGUGACAAUGGGUUAAUCCCAAAAAGCUAUCUCAGUUCGGAUUGUCGUCUGCAACUCGACGGCAUG